UACGAGGGGGGCGCGCGUUGUUCGGAAUUAUUGGGCGUAAAGGGUGCGUAGGCGGUUCGGUAAGUUUCGUGUGAAAUCUUCGGGCUCAACUCGAAGCCUGCACGAGAUACUGCCGGGCUUGAGUGUGGGAGAGGUGAGUGGAAUUUCCGGUGUAGCGGUGAAAUGCGUAGAUAUCAGGAGGAACACCUGCGGUGUAGACGGCUUUCUGGACCAUUGUUGACGCUGAGACACGAAAGCGUGGGUAGCAAACAGG
This 253-nucleotide ribosomal RNA is filed under the name uncultured bacterium. Its description in RNAcentral is "partial 16S ribosomal RNA". It matches the Rfam family "Bacterial small subunit ribosomal RNA", at positions 524 to 776 of the family's 1533-position model. The record is from RNAcentral.